This 518-nucleotide long non-coding RNA is filed under the name Androctonus crassicauda. Lineage: Eukaryota; Metazoa; Arthropoda; Arachnida; Scorpiones; Buthidae. The record is from RNAcentral.
UUCUAUUUCGAGAUCCAUCGUUUCAACCAAUGAAUUUUCUUCUAACGCUACGUCAUUUUUUAACAUCACAGGUAUUCUUUCGAUUACCUUAGCCAAUAAGACUUUUAGAAAACCAGUUCAAUGGCAAUGCAUUUCCGAAUUUGAAACCACCGCUUUCUAAGUUGAUAGCUGGCACAGCAAUCGCCGUCUUAAAAGUUUAUAUUUUUUUAAAUAAAAGGAAAGAACAUUCCUUUUUAAAACAAAGAACUUUAUCUUAAAAUGAAGCCAAGAUGUGCUCUUAAUAUCAAAAAUCAGUUAGAUCACCCAAAAAACACCACAAGUGUAAGGAAAUGCGAAGGGCUAAAAUUAGUAAAAACUGCAUUCUCCAAACUACAGAUGAAAAAAUGUGAAGUCAUUACAUUAAGCCAAGCUUCAAUUACUAUUACAAAUACAUUCUCAUUCGAAUUAUGGUGUCAAAAAAUUGUUAAAACUGUAUUAUUUGUAAACAAUAAGCAUUUUUCAUAAUAUUUUACAGAUAC